CGGGAUAACCCGGAGAAAUCCGGCCUAAUACCGCAUGUGGCCGAGGGGAGGCAUCUUCUUUCGGCCAAAGGAGGCGACUCCGGAGACGGAUGGGCAUGCGUGACAUUAGCUUGUUGGCGGGGUAACGGCCCACCAAGGCGACGAUGUCUAGGGGUUCUGAGAGGAAGGUCCCCCACACUGGUACUGAGACACGGACCAGACUCCUACGGGAGGCAGCAGUGAGGAAUAUUGGUCAAUGGGCGAGAGCCUGAACCAGCCAAGUCGCGUGAAGGAUGACGGCCCUACGGGUUGUAAACUUCUUUUGUCAGGGAGCAAUUGAGUCCACGUGUGGGCUUAGCGAGAGUACCUGAAGAAAAAGCAUCGGCUAACUCCGUGCCAGCAGCCGCGGUGAUACGGAGGAUGCGAGCGUUAUCCGGAUUUAUUGGGUUUAAAGGGUGCGUAGGCGGAAUAUCAGGUCAGCGGUAAAAAUUCGGGGCUCAACCCCGUCGUGCCGUUGAAACUGAUGUUCUUGAGUGGGCGAGAAGUAUGCGGAAUGCGUGGUGUAGCGGUGAAAUGCAUAGAUAUCACGCAGAACUCCGAUUGCGAAGGCAGCAUACCGGCGCCCAACUGACGCUGAAGCACGAAAGCGUGGGUAUCGAACAGGAUUAGAUACCCUGGUAGUCCACGCAGUAAACG
This 675-nucleotide ribosomal RNA is filed under the name uncultured bacterium. Its description in RNAcentral is "bacterial SSU rRNA". It matches the Rfam family "Bacterial small subunit ribosomal RNA", at positions 139 to 808 of the family's 1533-position model. The record is from RNAcentral.